UUUUAAAUUGCUAAAGCCUUACAAGAUUUACAACAUCAAGACCACUGUUUAAUUGGGGCGAUAACCUUAUCCACAGCCACCUAAGGUGAACAAAGCGAUACAAGGAUCCUAAAUACUAAUUUGACCAACUAAUAAGUGCAAAGAUACAUGUUUUGCUUAAUGGCCCAACAAGUCCUUCCCAGUACUUAAAUGCUAUCUUAAUGAGCUUUAAAUUAAUUUACCAGAGUGAAGCUACUCUACGGAUAACAGGCUUAAUUUCCGCAAUAUCCAAGGUCACAUUAUCAAGAAUAAAGCACCUCGAUGUCGGCUUAU
Molecule: ribosomal RNA, 312 nt
Filed under: Symbiodinium sp. B1
Lineage: Eukaryota; Dinophyceae; Suessiales; Symbiodiniaceae
Description: bacterial LSU rRNA
Source: RNAcentral